UGCGUAGGCAGCAAGCGUUGUUCGGAGUUACUGGGCGUAAAGGGUGCGUAGGCGGCUUCUUAAGUCUGAUGUGAAAUCUCCCGGCUCAACUGGGAGGGUGCGCCGGAUACUGAGGGGCUAGAGUGUGGGAGAGGAAAGUGGAAUUCCUGGUGUAGCGGUGAAAUGCGUAGAUAUCAGGAGGAACACCGGUGGUGUAAACGGCUUUCUGGACCAUAACUGACGCUGAGGCACGAAAGCGUGGGUAGCAAACAGG
RNAcentral lists this ribosomal RNA (253 nucleotides) under uncultured bacterium. RNAcentral describes it as "partial 16S ribosomal RNA". It matches the Rfam family "Bacterial small subunit ribosomal RNA", at positions 524 to 776 of the family's 1533-position model. The record is from RNAcentral.